CUUCCAAGAGUUAUCUCUUUCCAUUAAAAAAUCUGUUUAGUGUCAAAUUCCUUUGAGACCAACAGGGCGCCCACCGUGUUCUCAGCCACAAAACAACCCAUGAUGCCACAACCAAAGAAGAAGAAGACCACACCACAGGAAACUAUCGAGGGUGAAAGGGAGCAAAAGAGAGGGCUUGUUUCUAUUGAUCAAGACAACACAGACACCCUAGAGAAACUAAAAACAAUCGAGGAUAGUUUAAGAGCAA
RNAcentral lists this long non-coding RNA (247 nucleotides) under Setaria italica (foxtail millet). RNAcentral's name for it is "long non-coding RNA (SITA_LNC001295)". Lineage: Eukaryota; Viridiplantae; Streptophyta; Magnoliopsida; Poales; Poaceae. The record is from RNAcentral.